This 336-nucleotide unclassified non-coding RNA is filed under the name soil metagenome. RNAcentral describes it as "partial contains 5.8S ribosomal RNA, internal transcribed spacer 2, and large subunit ribosomal RNA". The stretch from base 1 to 120 matches the Rfam family "5.8S ribosomal RNA", at positions 35 to 154 of the family's 154-position model. The record is from RNAcentral.
GAUGAAGAACGCAGCGAAAUGCGAUAAGUAAUGUGAAUUGCAGAAUUCAGUGAAUCAUCGAAUCUUUGAACGCACAUUGCGCCCGCCAGUAUUCUGGCGGGCAUGCCUGUUCGAGCGUCAUUUGUACCUUCAAGCUUUGCUUGGUGUUGGGUGUUUGUCUCGCCUUUGCGUGUAGACUCGCCUUAAAAUAAUUGGCAGCCGGCGUAUUGAUUUCGGAGCGCAGUACAUCUCGCGCUUUGCACUCAUAACGACAGCGUCCAAAAGUACAUUUUACACUCUUGACCUCGGAUCAGGUAGGGAUACCCGCUGAACUUAAGCAUAUCAAUAAGCGGAGGA